RNAcentral lists this non-coding RNA (148 nucleotides) under Gorilla gorilla gorilla (western lowland gorilla). The record is from Rfam by way of RNAcentral. Lineage: Eukaryota; Metazoa; Chordata; Mammalia; Primates; Hominidae.
GCCGGGUGUGGUGGUGCAUGCCUGUAAUUCCAGCUACUCAGGAGGCUGAGGCAGGAGAAUCGCUUGAACCCAGGAGGUAGAGGUUGCAGUGAGCUGAGAUCAUGCCACUGCACUCCAGCCUGGGUGACAGAGUGAGACUCCGUCUCAA